AUUGAACGCUGGCGGCAUGCUUUACACAUGCAAGUCGAACGGUAACAGGCCUUCGGGUGCUGACGAGUGGCGAACGGGUGAGUAAUGCAUCGGAACGUACCCAGAGGUGGGGGAUAACGCAGCGAAAGCUGUGCUAAUACCGCAUGUGAUCUGAGGAUGAAAGCGGGGGACCGAGCAGCAAUGUUUGGCCUCGCGCCUUUGGAGCGGCCGAUGUCGGAUUAGCUAGUUGGUGGGGUAAAGGCCUACCAAGGCGACGAUCCGUAGCUGGUCUGAGAGGACGACCAGCCACACUGGGACGGAGACACGGCCCAGACUACUACGGGAGGCAGCAGUGGGGAAUGGUGGACAAUGGGCGCAAGCCUGAUCCAGCAAUGCCGCGUGCGGGAAGAAGGCCUUCGGGUUGUAAACCGCUUUUGGCAGUAACGAAACGGUGUCCGCUAAUACCGGGCGCUAAUGACGGUACCUGCAGAAUAAGCACCGGCUAACUACGUG
RNAcentral lists this ribosomal RNA (492 nucleotides) under uncultured bacterium. Its description in RNAcentral is "partial 16S ribosomal RNA". It matches the Rfam family "Bacterial small subunit ribosomal RNA", at positions 29 to 507 of the family's 1533-position model. The record is from RNAcentral.